GUCACCAGAGAUGCAUGAUACAGUAAUUCCGCGUAUACCGGCGAACUGAUUUUACAUCAUAAUCAAAUUCCAAGGAAGAAAAACCUAUACCAUAAAAACCUCAAAGCUCAAACCUUUACACAGAAUUCCUUGUGAUUGCACUCUACCAUAAAUUCAUUAAAACAGGCAAACCGAUUAGCUCUAAUCAAGUUCUCAUAUAAGCUGAAACAUCAGGGCAAGGAAAGUGUACAAANNNNNNNNNNUCAGAUAUACUUCACCUACAACAAGCUCUUGACAUUCACAUCUUGAUCAUCCUAAGCAGCAAUUCCUCUAUUUUCUUAUCUAUUGGCAACACUAUAGCCACCAACAUAACCAGCAGAGUUUUUAGUCACAACAUCAGUAGCUGCAUUUCCAAGCCCAAAGCCAAAUGAGCCAGAACCCUCUACCUCUAAAGGUGA
This 437-nucleotide unclassified non-coding RNA is filed under the name Hevea brasiliensis (rubber tree). The record is from RNAcentral. Lineage: Eukaryota; Viridiplantae; Streptophyta; Magnoliopsida; Malpighiales; Euphorbiaceae.